RNAcentral lists this long non-coding RNA (1349 nucleotides) under Lonchura striata (white-rumped munia). RNAcentral's name for it is "domestica (Bengalese finch) lncRNA (ENSLSDG00000001651.1)". Lineage: Eukaryota; Metazoa; Chordata; Aves; Passeriformes; Estrildidae. The record is from RNAcentral.
ACACGUCGGGGACAUUGGGGGUGGCUUUGGGGAGAUGGGGACACCUCAGGGACACCACAGGGACACCUUGGGGACAUUGGGGGAUGCCUUAGGGACAUUGGGGACACUGGGGGACACCUUGGGGACAUUGGGGGUGGCCUUGGGGACACCUCGGGGACACCUCUUGGACACCUUGGGGACAUUGGGAUACCUUGGGGAUGCCUUGGGGACAUUGGGGGUGGCUUUGGGGUCACCUUGGGGACACCUCGGGGACAUUGGGGUGGCUUUGGGGACACCUGGGGACAUUGGGGACACCUCGGGGAUAUUGGGGGUGGAUUUGGGGACACCUCGGGGACAUUGGGGGAUGCCUUGGGGACAUUGGGGUGGCCUUGGGGACACGUCGGGGACAUUGGGGGUGGCUUUGGGGACAUGGGGACACCUCAGGGACACCACAGGGACACCUUAGGGACAUUGGGGGUGGCUUUGGGGACAUUGGGGACACCUCGGGGACAUUUGGGACACCUCAGGGACUUUGGGGUGGCCUUGGGGACACCUUGGGGACACCUUGGGGACAUUGGGGGUGGCCUCGGGGACACUGGGGACACCUCGGGGACACCUCAGGGACAUUGGGGACACCUCGGGGACACCUUGUGGGACACCUUGGGGACAUUGGGGGUGGCCUCGGGGACACUGGGGACACCUCGGGGACACCUCAGGGACAUUGGGGUGGCUUUGGGGACACCUUGGGGACAUGGGGACACCUCGAGGACAUUGGGGACACCUCGGGGACAUUGGCGGUGGCCUUGGGGACCUCGCGACCCUUUCGGGGCCACCUUGGUGGUGGGCUGGGGGGGGGCGGCAAUUCCGUUAAGCCACGCCCACCUAUAUGACGUCAUACCACCGGCCACGCCCCCUCCUCGGGCACCGCAGUGCGCCGGGCCCGAGCGGAGCCGGGAAGAGGCGGAAAGAGCCGAAGGGAGGCGGAAAGAGCCGAAGGGAGGCGGAAAGAGCCGAAGGGAGGCGGAAAGAGCCGAAGGAGAGCGGCGGGAAGAGCCGAAGGGAGGCGGAAAGAGCCGAAGGAGAGCGGCGGAAAGAGCCGAAGGGAGGCGGGAAGAGCCGAAGGAGAGCGGCGGGAAGAGCCGAAGGGAGGCGGGAAGAGCCGAAGGAGAGCGGCGGGAAGAGCCGAAGGGAGGCGGGAAGAGCCGAAGGGAGGCGGGAAGAGCCGAAGGGAGGCGGAAAGAGCCGAAGGAGGGCGGCGGAAAGAGCCGAAGGAGAGCGGCGGAAAGAGCCGAAGGAGGGAGGCGGGAAGAGCCGAAGGAGAGCGGCGGGAAGAGCCGAAGGGAGGCGGAGGAAAGAGCCGAAGGGAGGCG